UACGUAGGGCGCAAGCGUUGUCCGGAAUUACUGGGCGUAAAGCGUGCGCAGGCGGUUGUGCAAGACCGAUGUGAAAUCCCCGGGCUUAACCUGGGAACUGCAUUUGUGACUGCAUCGCUGGAGUGCGGCAGAGGGGGAUGGAAUUCCGCGUGUAGCAGUGAAAUGCGUAGAUAUGCGGAGGAACACCGAUGGCGAAGGCAAUCCACUGGGCCUGCACUGACGCUCAUGCACGAAAGCGUGGGGAGCAAACAGG
Molecule: ribosomal RNA, 253 nt
Filed under: uncultured bacterium
Lineage: Bacteria
Description: partial 16S ribosomal RNA
Rfam family: Bacterial small subunit ribosomal RNA
Source: RNAcentral